GACAGAGGGUGCAAACGUUGUUCGGAAUUACUGGGCGUAAAGCGCGUGUAGGCGGCCCUGCAAGUCGGGUGUGAAAUCCCACGGCUCAACCGUGGAAGUGCACUCGAAACUGCAGGGCUAGAGUCCUGGAGAGGAAGGUGGAAUGCUUGGUGUAGAGGUGAAAUUCGUAGAUAUCAAGCGGAACACCGGUGGCGAAGGCGGCAUCCUGGACCGGCAUUGACGCUGAGGAGCGAAAGCCAGGGGAGCAAACGGG
RNAcentral lists this ribosomal RNA (253 nucleotides) under uncultured bacterium. Its description in RNAcentral is "partial 16S ribosomal RNA". It matches the Rfam family "Bacterial small subunit ribosomal RNA", at positions 524 to 776 of the family's 1533-position model. The record is from RNAcentral.